AUUGAACGCUGGCGGUAUGCUUAACACAUGCAAGUCGAACGGCAGCAUGCUUGUAGCAAUACAAGUGAUGGCGAGUGGCGGACGGGUGAGUAAUGCGUAAGAAUCUACCUAUUUGACUGGGAUAGCCUAUGGAAACGUAGGGUAAAACCGGAUAUGCUGUACGCAGUAAAAGUGGGAUUUCGGUCCUGCUGCUAAUAGAUGAGCUUACGUUGGAUUAGCUAGUUGGUGGGGUAAGAGCCUACCAAGGCGACGAUCCAUAGCUGUUCUGAGAGGAAGACCAGCCACAUUGGGACUGAGACACGGCCCAGACUCCUACGGGAGGCAGCAGUGGGGAAUAUUGGACAAUGGGCGAAAGCCUGUUCCAGCAAUACCGCGUGUGUGAAGAAGGCCUGAGGGUUGUAAAGCACUUUCGUUUGGGAGGAAGAGAUUUGUUUUAAUAGAGCAAAUUGAAGACGUUACCAAAAUAAGAAGCACCGGCUAACUCUGUGCCAGCAGCCGCAGUAA
RNAcentral lists this ribosomal RNA (504 nucleotides) under uncultured bacterium. RNAcentral's name for it is "partial 16S ribosomal RNA". It matches the Rfam family "Bacterial small subunit ribosomal RNA", at positions 30 to 523 of the family's 1533-position model. The record is from RNAcentral.